UCAUCCAAACAUGUGAAAGA
This 20-nucleotide small nuclear RNA is filed under the name Arabidopsis thaliana (thale cress). RNAcentral describes it as "snRNA_10280". Lineage: Eukaryota; Viridiplantae; Streptophyta; Magnoliopsida; Brassicales; Brassicaceae. The record is from RNAcentral.